RNAcentral lists this ribosomal RNA (445 nucleotides) under uncultured bacterium. Its description in RNAcentral is "partial 16S ribosomal RNA". It matches the Rfam family "Bacterial small subunit ribosomal RNA", at positions 330 to 792 of the family's 1533-position model. The record is from RNAcentral.
UCCAGACUCCUACGGGAGGCAGCAGUGGGGAAUAUUGCACAAUGGGGGGAACCCUGAUGCAGCGACGCCACGUGGGUGAAGGAGCACCUCGGUGCGUAAAGCCCUAUCGGCAGGGAAGAAACAGACGGUACCUGACUAAGAAGCCCCAGCUAACUACGUGCCAGCAGCCGCGGUAAUACGUAGGGGGCAAGCGUUAUCCGGAUUCACUGGGUGUAAAGGGAGCGUAGACGGCGACGCAAGUCUGGAGUGAAAGCCCGGGGCCCAACCCCGGGACUGCUCUUGGAACUGCGUGGCUGGAGUGCAGGAGGGGCAGGCGGAAUUCCUGGUGUAGCGGUGAAAUGCGUAGAUAUCAGGAGGAACACCGGUGGCGAAGGCGGCCUGCUGGACUGCAACUGACGUUGAGGCCCGAAAGCGUGGGGAGCAAACAGGAUUAGAUACCCCUGUA